RNAcentral lists this unclassified non-coding RNA (402 nucleotides) under soil metagenome. RNAcentral describes it as "partial contains 5.8S ribosomal RNA, internal transcribed spacer 2, and large subunit ribosomal RNA". The stretch from base 1 to 121 matches the Rfam family "5.8S ribosomal RNA", at positions 35 to 154 of the family's 154-position model. The record is from RNAcentral.
GAUGAAGAACGCAGCGAAAUGCGAUAAGUAGUGUGAAUUGCAGAAUUCAGUGAAUCAUCGAAUCUUUGAACGCACCUUGCGCCCUUUGGCUAUUCUGAAGGGCAUGCCUGUUUGAGUAUCGUGAACACCUCAACUCUCAUGGUCUGCCAUGAUGAGCUUGGACUUUGGGGGUCUUGCUGGCCUACUGUCAGCUCCUCUCAAAUGAAUCAGCUUACCAGUGUUUGGUGGCACCACAGGUGUGAUAACUAUCUACGCUUGUGGUUUUCUGCCAGGUAACCUCCAGUGAUGGAGGUUCGCUGGAGCUCACAAAUGUCUCUCCUCAGCGAGGACAGCUUUUUGAACGUUUGAUCUCAAAUCAGGUAGGACUACCCGCUGAACUUAAGCAUAUCAAUAAGCGGAGGA